CAGCAGCCGCGGUAAUACAGAGGGUGCGAGCGUUAAUCGGAUUUACUGGGCGUAAAGCGUGCGUAGGCGGCUUCUUAAGUCGGAUGUGAAAUCCCUGAGCUUAACUUAGGAAUUGCAUUCGAUACUGGGAAGCUAGAGUAUGGGAGAGGAUGGUAGAAUUCCAGGUGUAGCAGUGAAAUGCGUAGAGAUCUGGAGGAAUACCGAUGGCGAAGGCAGCCAUCUGGCCUAAUACUGACGCUGAGGUACGAAAGCAUGGGGAGCAAACAGGAUUAGAUACCCCGGUAGUCCCUGUCUCUUAUAC
Molecule: ribosomal RNA, 301 nt
Filed under: uncultured bacterium
Lineage: Bacteria
Description: partial 16S ribosomal RNA
Rfam family: Bacterial small subunit ribosomal RNA
Source: RNAcentral